RNAcentral lists this ribosomal RNA (496 nucleotides) under uncultured bacterium. RNAcentral's name for it is "partial 16S ribosomal RNA". It matches the Rfam family "Bacterial small subunit ribosomal RNA", at positions 28 to 507 of the family's 1533-position model. The record is from RNAcentral.
GACGAACGCUGGCGGCGUGCCUAAUACAUGCAAGUUGAGCGCUGAAGGUUGGUACUUGUACCAACUGGAUGAGCAGCGAACGGGUGAGUAACGCGUGGGUAAUCUGCCUUUGAGCGGGGGACAACAUUGGGAAACGAAUGCUAAUACCGCAUAAAAACUUUAAACACAAGUUUUAAGUUUGAAAGAUGCAAUUGCAUCACUCAAAGAUGAUCCCGCGUUGUAUUAGCUAGUUGGUAAGGUAAAGGCGUACCAAGGUGAAGAUGCAGAGCCGACCUGAGAGGGGGACCGUGCACACGGGACCUGAGACCAGGUCAAGACUCGGACGGGAGGCAGCGGAGGGGAAUGGUCCGAAAUGGGCGAAAGCCGGACAGAGCAACGCCGAGUGAGUGAAGAAGGUCUUCGGAGCGUAAAACUUUGUGAUUAGGGAAGAACAAAUGGGGAAGUAACUAUGCACGUCGGGACGGGACCUAAUCAGAAAGCCACGGCUAACUACGUG